RNAcentral lists this unclassified non-coding RNA (325 nucleotides) under fungal sp. RNAcentral describes it as "partial internal transcribed spacer region". Lineage: Eukaryota; Fungi. The record is from RNAcentral.
AAGUCGUAACAAGGUGUCCGGAGGUGAACCUGCGAACCCUGUGAACCAUUGUGCUCCCACGCUUUGUUAGAAAGUGGCAAUCUGGUAAAUCAUCGCCGAACAGUUUUGAUUCAGGGCUUCUGCGAAGAGGGUGAAUGAGAAGCAAUGGACCUGGCAUUUCUCUGCUUGUUGGUGUCUGAAAGUGUCACUAACUCUGUACGAAUGGCGCACACGUUCGCUGGAGGCCGACACGGCCGGCGACCGCCCUGAGCUCUGCUCCCUAAUAACCUUUGCAUGAAAACGCACCAAACUCGAACAACUGUUAACAAUGGAUAUCUUGGUUCUC